Molecule: long non-coding RNA, 298 nt
Organism: Zeugodacus cucurbitae (melon fly)
Lineage: Eukaryota; Metazoa; Arthropoda; Insecta; Diptera; Tephritidae
Exons: 3
Source: RefSeq, a predicted model, not a curated record
UUGUUUUUUUUUUUUAUACAGGAGAUAUAUAAAAGAAUUAAUUUUAAAAGGCAAAAUCAAAGCAAAGACAACGACCGGGACUUCAUUUUAUACAAAAGAAAAUGCAACAAUAUAUAUAUUAUAUUUGUUCCUGCUAUUCCUGCAAGGAGCACAGGACGACAGGGCUUUAUUUCGCCUCAAAAUUUUCCUGUAGGUCUGAGGAUGUGUAAUUUCUUAUUAUUUCGUUUGCGGGUUUGCGUAAGGUGUAUCCAGUCCACACCCAACAAUGUUAACAUACAUACAUAUAUUUAGAUAAAGA